Rana temporaria (common frog) is the source of this 478-nucleotide long non-coding RNA. RefSeq lists it as uncharacterized. The record is from RefSeq and is a predicted model, not a curated record. The transcript is spliced from 3 exons. Lineage: Eukaryota; Metazoa; Chordata; Amphibia; Anura; Ranidae.
UGGGUGUGAUCCAACAUCCGAUCAUUUACAUGUUCACUCCCAAUGUCCUACCGGCUGCAAUUUAUACACUUUCAUUCCACAAUGAGUGAUCAGGCUUGGAGCAACUCUGGAGAGGGAAGGAUGCUCUAAGAAUCCACCAGUCAUAUUGCUAUGAUCAAAGGAGCUGACAGUCUAAUUAUCAACGACUGCUAAAAAAUGUGUUGACCUGCAGGGAAGGAGCUGCAUCUGCCUGAAUACAAGAAUUUUGGAGAUUUUUUUUUUUAAAAACUCGACAAAAAGGCCAAUCAGCACUGUCAAGACAGAGGGUCAGGGGAUUAUGAAAACCCCUCCUACUAGCUUUAAGCAGACACUGAUACAAAUCACAAGACUGCUCUAACUGCAGGUGAGAAAAGGAUAAUGGGUUUAAAGGAAAACUAAAGAGGUUCACAGAAAAUUAGGAGUGGGAGAUCGAGCAAAGGAUCAGGUAAAGAAAUAGACU